UCAGCACAUAGGCUAGACCUAAAGUAAGGCCUCCACCACUAGAAAAAGAGAAAAAAAAACUCAGCAAAAUAUUUAGCAGCUGUGCAGAGAGGGAAAAACAGAAUCGGGCAGUCAAGGGGUCCUAGAGUGAAGCUUGGAUUUGUGAAGAAUUAUCUGAAGUCUAAGGUAGUAGAGAGAUCAAAAAGCAUAGUGUGAAAAGCAAAGUGCAAUCUCCUGCUGUCUCCCUGUGUUUAGGAGCCAAAGACACCCUGGGAGGGUCUGAAAAGAUGAAGUAAAUAAAAAGUCCGAGAGGGAAUGGUGAAUGGAUACUUCUUUACUUGAGGCACCUUUUGAUGCUGGCCACUGCCUGGUAGCUGAAGAGCAUGAGACUCUGGACUGGACUCUGGCAGAGGCUGCUUCUCAGAGCAGAAGUUGGCACAGUCACACUGUUGACCAAAUAGGAGGUAUGAAGAGGCCCAGUUCCAGCAGGCUCUGGAGAUAAGCUAUCAUGAAGAAAAGGCAACCCUCUGCCCAUUUGUGUUUAUGCAGGUCCAUGGUAGGUAGAUGACAAUCUCUGGAUGAAAUCUGGGUAAGGUAAAAUGCUGAGGUCUAUUCUUAUUGGUGCCAACAAAUUG
Molecule: long non-coding RNA, 614 nt
Organism: Talpa occidentalis (Iberian mole)
Lineage: Eukaryota; Metazoa; Chordata; Mammalia; Eulipotyphla; Talpidae
Exons: 3
Source: RefSeq, a predicted model, not a curated record